GACGAACGCUGGCGGCGUGCCUAAUACAUGCAAGUAGAACGCUGAAGCGAGGAGCUUGCUCUUCUUGGAUGAGUUGCGAACGGGUGAGUAACGCGUAGGUAGCCUGCCUUGUAGCGGGGGAUAACUAUUGGAAACGAUAGCUAAUACCGCAUAACAAUGGAUGACACAUGUCAUUUAUUUGAAAGGGGCAAUUGCUCCACUACAAGAUGGACCUGCGUUGUAUUAGCUAGUAGGUGAGGUAAUGGCUCACCUAGGCGACGAUACAUAGCCGACCUGAGAGGGUGAUCGGCCACACUGGGACUGGGACACGGCCCAGACUCCUACGGGAGGCAGCAGUAGGGAAUCUUCGGCAAUGGGGGCAACCCUGACCGAGCAACGCCGCGUGAGUGAAGAAGGUUUUCGGAUCGUAAAGCUCUGUUGUAAGUCAAGAACGGGUGUGAGAGUGGAAAGUUCACGCUGUGACGGUAGCUUAACAGAAAGGGACAGCUAACUACGUG
RNAcentral lists this ribosomal RNA (497 nucleotides) under uncultured bacterium. RNAcentral describes it as "partial 16S ribosomal RNA". It matches the Rfam family "Bacterial small subunit ribosomal RNA", at positions 28 to 507 of the family's 1533-position model. The record is from RNAcentral.